This 734-nucleotide long non-coding RNA is filed under the name Equus caballus (horse). Its description in RNAcentral is "lncRNA (ENSECAG00000045041.1)". The record is from RNAcentral. Lineage: Eukaryota; Metazoa; Chordata; Mammalia; Perissodactyla; Equidae.
GUAUGUAUCUAAUACCAUAUUAGACUCUGGGGACUUGGCAGUAGUGGGACAUACAUGGUCCUUUGAUUCAUGAAGCUAGGUGGCUAGUGUGGGCAUAACACUGACAAAUAAACAGUAGUUUACAAUAGAGCUUAAGAGUGAAGUACAGGAUGCUAAGGGACCACACAUGAAGAACAUCCAAUCUAGUUGCAGAUAAGGAAUCUUGGGGCUUGGUUAACCUGCAAUCUAAAGGAUGAGAGAGAUUAUUCAGGAGACAGUGAGAUGGCAGCUGUCUGAAAGUCAGGAAGAGAGCUCUCACCAGAAACUGAACCUUGUCAGAACUUUAAUCUUGGACUUUCCAGCCUUCAGCACUGGGAGAAAAUAAAUGUCUGCUGUUUGAGUCAUCCAAUCUACAGUGCUUUGUUAUGGUAGCCUGAGAUGACUAAGACAACAGGAACCAUGUAAAUGAAAGAAAGGAGGACUGAGAAUUGAAGGAUUCCAGGAAGAAAUAUCGACUGUGCCAACAAAAUCUGUUUUACAAAUGUUUGAAACAAUCUCAAUGAAGAGGAUGAGUGGGAAAGUUACUGAUCCAAGUAUCUCUGAAAUUUAGAGUCUGUAAGACUAAAGGCAAAAUGAACUGCACAUAAUUAACGUACUCUAGCUGAUAAAGUUGUUUCCCAUUGGAUUAUGGGUUAACAAUUCUAUAUUGUUACAUGUGUAUCCUGAAAUGGGACAAUAAAGUAAAUGGAUGACAA